RNAcentral lists this ribosomal RNA (496 nucleotides) under uncultured bacterium. Its description in RNAcentral is "partial 16S ribosomal RNA". It matches the Rfam family "Bacterial small subunit ribosomal RNA", at positions 29 to 507 of the family's 1533-position model. The record is from RNAcentral.
AUGAACGCUGGCGGCGUGCCUAAUACAUGCAAGUCGAGCGAACAGACGAGGAGCUUGCUCCUCUGACGUUAGCGGCGGACGGGUGAGUAACACGUGGAUAACCUACCUAUAAGACUGGGAUAACUUCGGGAAACCGGAGCUAAUACCGGAUAAUAUAUUGAACCGCAUGGUUCAAUAGUGAAAGACGGUUUUGCUGUCACUUAUAGAUGGAUCCGCGCCGCAUUAGCUGGUUGGUAAGGUAACGGCUUACCAAGGCAACGAUGCGUAGCCGACCUGAGAGGGUGAUCGGCCACACUGGAACUGAGACACGGUCCAGACUCCUACGGGAGGCAGCAGUAGGGAAUCUUCCGCAAAGGGCGAAAGCCUGACGGAGCAACGCCGCGUGAGUGAUGAAGGUCUUCGGAUCGUAAAACUCUGUUAUUAGGGAAGAACAAAUGUGUAAGUAACUAUGCACGUCUUGACGGUACCUAAUCAGAAAGCCACGGCUAACUACGUG